AACGAACGCUGGCGGCAUGCCUAACACAUGCCAGUCGAACGAGACCUUCGGGUCUAGUGGCGCACGGGUGCGUAACGCGUGGGAACCUGCCCUUAGGUUCGGAAUAACUCCCCGAAAGGGGUGCUAAUACCGGAUAAUGUCUUCGGACCAAAGAUUUAUCGCCUUUGGAUGGGCCCGCGUUGGAUUAGCUAGUUGGUAGGGUAAAAGCCUACCAAGGCGACGAUCCAUAGCUGGUCUGAGAGGAUGAUCAGCCACACUGGGACUGAGACACGGCCCAGACUCGUACGGGAGGCAGCAGUGGGGAAUAUUGGACAAUGGGCGAAAGCCUGAUCCAGCAAUGCCGGGUGAGUGAUGAAGGCCUUAGGGUUGUAAAGCUCUUUUACCCGGGAUGAUAAUGACAGUACCGGGAGAAUAAGCUCCGGCUAACUCCGUG
This 433-nucleotide ribosomal RNA is filed under the name uncultured bacterium. Its description in RNAcentral is "partial 16S ribosomal RNA". It matches the Rfam family "Bacterial small subunit ribosomal RNA", at positions 29 to 507 of the family's 1533-position model. The record is from RNAcentral.